GAGCGGCCGAUGUCGGAUUAGCUAGUUGGUGGGGUAACGGCCUACCAAGGCGACGAUCCGUAGCUGGUCUGAGAGGACGACCAGCCACACUGGAACUGAGACACGGUCCAGACUCCUACGGGAGGCAGCAGUGGGGAAUUUUGGACAAUGGGCGAAAGCCUGAUCCAGCCAUGCCGCGUGAGUGAAGAAGGCCUUCGGGUUGUAAAGCUCUUUCGGCUGGGACGAAAAGGUCCGUGCUAACACCACGGAUCCAUGACGGUACCAGCAGAAGAAGCACCGGCUAACUACGUGCCAGCAGCCGCGGUAAUACGUAGGGUGCAGGCGUUAAUCGGAAUUACUGGGCGUAAAGCGUGCGCAGGCGGUCUAUUAAGACAGGUGUGAAAUCCCCGGGCUUAACCUGGGAACUGCGCUUGUAACUGAUAGGCUGGAGUGUGGCAGAGGGGGGUGGAAUUCCACGUGUAGCAGUGAAAUGCGUAGAGAUGUGGAGGAACACCGAUGGCGAAGGCAGCCCCCUGGGCUAACACUGACGCUCAUGCACGAAAGCGUGGGGAGCAAACAGGAUUAGAUACCCUGGUAGUCCACGCCCUAAACUAUGUCAACUGGUUGU
Molecule: ribosomal RNA, 607 nt
Filed under: uncultured beta proteobacterium
Lineage: Bacteria; Pseudomonadati; Pseudomonadota; Betaproteobacteria
Description: bacterial SSU rRNA
Rfam family: Bacterial small subunit ribosomal RNA
Source: RNAcentral